Molecule: ribosomal RNA, 497 nt
Filed under: Zymoseptoria tritici
Lineage: Eukaryota; Fungi; Ascomycota; Dothideomycetes; Mycosphaerellales; Mycosphaerellaceae
Description: SSU rRNA
Rfam family: Bacterial small subunit ribosomal RNA
Source: RNAcentral
AUUUGGGGGAAUGUAAGCAUAUAUAAUAGUGUUAUAUGCGUAUCGACUAUGUCGAAUAAAGUUCUAAAUAGAUAAUUGAUAAUGACAAACGUCUAUUUACAUGUCUCGACCAAUUCUUGUGCCAGCAGUCGCGGCAACACAAGUGAGACUAGUGUUAUUCAUCUUUAUUAGGUUUAAAGGGUACCUAGACAGUAAAUUUAGCCCCGAUUAUAUUAGGGUACAGAUAUACUAGAGUUUUAUACGGGAGGUAAAUAUUAGGACUAUUGGUGGAGAGAUAAAAUUUUUUUAUACUAAUGGGAUGUAUAACGGCGAAGGCAACCCUCUAUGUAAAAACUGACGUUAAGGGACGAAGGCUUGGGGAGCAAAUAGGAUUAGAUACCCUAGUAGUCCAGGCAGAAAAUUAUGAGUGUUAUAGAUCAAAUAUAUAAUUGGUGUAUAAAUGAAAGUGUAAGCAUUCCACCUCAAGAGUAAUGUGGCAACGCAGGAACUGAAAUCAU